CAAGAUUUUAGCAAGAGUCUGACAUGGAAUACUAGAGAGACUUUAAGGAAGCAAUUUUAGGGAGGUGACUGAGAGAAUUAAGGGAAAUAUGGGCAGUUAGUUUAGACCCAAGGAGCCCUGUGUGUGUGGUAGGGGGUGUGAAAUCUGUCAGAUCAAACCAGUCAAAAGCAUAAAGUCAAGAGUUGUAAUUAGAAUCUGUACCUACUUUUAGAGUCUAGACCUCACCCUUGUGACCUCCCACUUGGAAUGCAAAUGAAAAGGCAAGCAAAUCUGAGGUAUUUCCUGCUAAGCAGUGAUUGUCUAUGAGCAUGAGGUCUAAGAGGGGUGCAUCUGUCGGGGAGACUCCACUGCCAUUGCAGGCCUGACAGGCCUCACUGAAUAAAGCACUCAGAGGAGCCGAUAUCAAGACCUGCAUCCUGCCAGCCUAACUGUUAGGGUGGCUUCCACAAACAGAAAGGCCCAUCAACGGAGAACAGCAACCGUACUGGCUAAAGCUGCUUCAAUCACGCUUCAGAAUCAUUCACAGAUUUGUUUUCUAGACUCACCUACGGGUUCAUCCACUAGCUUCCAGUCUGUGUGCUGGCAUGUGUUUCUAUAUGGCUCCUGUGCAAAGACACUAGGACUUGCUGUGGCUGAGUUUUGGAUGCGAUCUCCAUUUGACAAGGAAUAAAGACGAGGCAUAAAUAAGUAACAUUUAUCUUGUCUUACAUAUGGGUCUCCUAGCCCUCCCUCCCUUCCUCUUUCUCUCUCCAUCCUCCCCACUUCAAUCUCUCUUCCUCCUUUCCUUCCUGAUGCUCAGCAGCAAGAUGUUCCAGUCUGGGAUGAUCUGAAGAAAGGGCAAAAGAGAACAGUGUAUUCUGGGAAUGCAGGCGCCGCCGCUGCUUUGGACUUGCUUCCAGCGGAAAUCCCCAUGCAGAUCGUAUCUUCCACGUGUCUGCUCAAACACUAAGAUAAAUGUCAUGAGACAGGAGCAAAGGAGAGGCUUCUAAAACACCAAGAUGCUUGAAAGCAGAGAAUCCUGUAGGGCCUAGCAAAGACUUUUAUCUCUCCGCUUCAUUUCUCUAGGGAGUCUUAACUGCUCCAGAUUCAAUAUCACCCUUGAGUGACUGGGAAGCAGCAAGUGGUCAAAUUAUUUUCACUGUCUGUAUGGAGUCCCUGGUGUACCAGGAGGCCGAUGCCUCCAGAGAAGACCCACAAAUGACUGUCACGCACUGUGGGGGCCACAAGGAAGCAGUGUGCACACUGGCCUGGGAAAACAACACGCCAGAGUAACAGGGGUAUUUUGCAAGCUU
RNAcentral lists this long non-coding RNA (1292 nucleotides) under Mus spicilegus (steppe mouse). RNAcentral's name for it is "lncRNA (ENSMSIG00000028538.1)". The record is from RNAcentral. Lineage: Eukaryota; Metazoa; Chordata; Mammalia; Rodentia; Muridae.